AUUUUGUUUAUGCCGAAAAACCGCAUACCCAUAAAUCAAUCAAUGACUUAAAUCCCCUGAGUGAAACAACGAAUUGCUGUGUGUAGUCUUUGCCCAUCUCCCACGAUGGGCUUUUUUUUAU
Molecule: non-coding RNA, 121 nt
Filed under: Enterobacter hormaechei
Lineage: Bacteria; Pseudomonadati; Pseudomonadota; Gammaproteobacteria; Enterobacterales; Enterobacteriaceae
Also listed under: 1 other name
Description: antisense sRNA RprA
Rfam family: RprA RNA (bases 25-121)
About the family: Translational regulation of the stationary phase sigma factor RpoS is mediated by the formation of a double-stranded RNA stem-loop structure in the upstream region of the rpoS messenger RNA, occluding the translation initiation site. Clones carrying rprA (RpoS regulator RNA A) increased the translation of RpoS. The rprA gene encodes a 106 nucleotide regulatory RNA.
Source: RNAcentral